AUGUUUGUGGCCUGAAAAAGUCUUCCUGGAAAUGUAGAUAAUAAGAAUUAUCGAUUUAUUUAUAUAUUUACCGUUUAGUUGGAUAAUGUUUGAGAAACUGGAAUAAAAUUAGUUUUACAUUAUUUGAACUAGUUCAAUUUUAGUUAAACAAAUAAAAUCGAAGAUACCUCAUAAACGUUCAACUGUUCGGAACUUCGACAUAAAUUUCGUAAAAAUCAAAUUUGAUUUUGAAUUUUAGAAUAUAUAUAUAUAAUAUAUAUAGACUUAUGUAAACAUGUAAGUAGUAAAUUAGAUAGAAAUCAAUUUUGGGCGGAGGCCCUUUAAUCCGUGAAAGCAGUGCCAUAAGCAUUCCUCCCAGCCUUGUAUAUGUAAGGCCUUUUAUUAGAUAUCGGCAUUUGUAUUCAUAAACAGGCGUUAUACAUGAGUCCUUUAAAGUGUGAGAGCUGGCGAGUGAGGUUUUUUCGGUGAGGGUUCCUGUUUUCUCUGAAUCUGGGCGUUAGGUAAGUCCUUUAUGUGUUGAAGGCUUUCAUGCGGUAACUGUUCCUCCUGUUUGGGGUACUGAAUGCUACAUCUUUGUAGCGAGAUUUGAGCUUUCGUGUAUGCCAUGUUAGAGCAUUUGUCAGAUGCUAGAAUACGACUAUUAUUCGAUUAAAUCUGGAACUUUAUGGCCACAAGUUCCUUUAAAUCCUUUUAUGGAGGGUCAUCUUAGAUUUAAAAAAUAAAUUAAGCAUUUGGGCUUUUCUAUAACUUUUCAAAAUGUUUUCGAGCCCAUUUAGGAGAUUUGUCUCUGCAUCUGCCGAUUUUAUUUUUCUCUUCUUUUUUUCAUUUAGAACCUUCCUUGAUGGUUGGUCUUAUUCUAUCAUAUACAUUGAGCCUCGUUUAGAUCUGUUUACAUGUUCAAGGGACUCAUUCAGGCGCCUAAUCGAUCGGAACUUGUAGAAACCAGGCAUGAAUGCAUAUUGUUAAAAAAGGUAAACCUCAGUAAACGGAUCUUAAGAUACAAAAUACGCUUAUACGUCAACUGAUGUCGUUAUGUUUGUAGUGUAUAGGAACUCGAGUUGUGGUGAAAUAUUGUUAUCGAUUCCCUGUGUGCUAAUUAUCUGGAUAAUGUUUGACUUCCCGAUCAAUAUCUAGUUGUCCGAAGCAUUAUGUUCAUCGCCUGUUGGCUAUUCUGUCGUCAUUCCUUAAUGUUGACCUGUUUUCUUAUCUGCACAAUUGCACUGUUUCAACAUGUUAAAAAUAUUAUAAAAAAAUAUAGGGGCCUAUAUAUUUAUACUCAACCUUUGAUAUAAAAAAAAAAUUGCAUGGUAAAAACCCGUUGUAACCGAUAAUGUUUAAUGUUUAGAAGGGUUAAAAAUAUUUUUGAGAAGAUAAAAAAACAUAUCCGAAAACACGUCCAUAAAACUCAAAAAUAAAAAAUAUAUAUAUAUAUAGAUAUAUUUAAGUGAUUUUUUGAGACCAAAAUUACGAUUAAGCGGACUGAUGACUUUUGACACAGGGUCUAACAAAAAAAACUAAAUCAUCAGUUCGCUAAUCCACACGCGCACAUCACUAUGAGGAUUAAGUUAAUCCUAUAUCUCUUCUUAAGCUUAUCUUUGUAUAUAGGAUUAUAUAAAUAAACGAAUAAGGAAUAUAUAUAUAUAUAGUAUAUAAAUAUUUAAAAAAAUCGAACAAACUUAUGAUUGUGCCUUUACUAUUGAAAGGAAAUGGUGUCCAACAUAUCUCUCUAGAAAAAAAAGAAAGAAAAAAAAAACGUCCACUUAUUCUUAGAAUAUCACCAAUUGUGUCUCGUCUUAGUUUAGUGAUGUCGGAAAUUUAUGUGCUGUACUUUUUAAUCUAUUUAAUCUCAUAUACACAAGCCCAAAUUUGGGAUGAGUAUGUUUCUAGUCAUUUUUAGAAAAACCGAUGGAGAAUCACAAAUCUAUAGGUAAAAGUAUAUGUUGUGUAACGAUUAUUUAAUGUAUCUUACUAUCAUUUUAAGUUUAGAUGAAUAAAGCUUUGAUAUUUGCAAG
Molecule: long non-coding RNA, 2012 nt
Filed under: Androctonus crassicauda
Lineage: Eukaryota; Metazoa; Arthropoda; Arachnida; Scorpiones; Buthidae
Source: RNAcentral